RNAcentral lists this ribosomal RNA (305 nucleotides) under uncultured bacterium. RNAcentral's name for it is "bacterial SSU rRNA". It matches the Rfam family "Bacterial small subunit ribosomal RNA", at positions 337 to 640 of the family's 1533-position model. The record is from RNAcentral.
ACCUACGGGACGCAGCAGUGAGGAAUAUUGGACAAUGGUCGGGAGACUGAACCAGCCAAGCCGCGUGAGGGAUGAAGGUACAGAGUAUCGUAAACCUCUUUUGUCAGGGAACAAAGGCGGGGACGUGUCCCCGGAUGAGUGUACCUGAAGAAAAAGCAUCGGCUAACUACGUGCCAGCAGCCGCGGUAAUACGGAGGAUGCGAGCGUUAUCCGGAUUUAUUGGGUUUAAAGGGUGCGCAGGCGGUCUGUUAAGUCAGCGGUCAAAGCCCGGGGCUCAACCCCGGCCCGCCGUUGAAACUGGCAGU